RNAcentral lists this ribosomal RNA (253 nucleotides) under uncultured bacterium. RNAcentral's name for it is "partial 16S ribosomal RNA". It matches the Rfam family "Bacterial small subunit ribosomal RNA", at positions 524 to 776 of the family's 1533-position model. The record is from RNAcentral.
UACAGAGGGGGCAAGCGUUAUUCGGAAUUGUUGGGCGUAAAGGGCGCGUAGGCGGCUUUGCAAGUGACGGGUGAAAUCCCUCGGCUUAACCGAGGAACUGCCUGUCAGACUGUGAGGCUUGAGACCGGGAGAGGUGAGUGGAAUUCCCAGUGUAGCGGUGAAAUGCGUAGAUAUUGGGAGGAACACCAGUGGCGAAGGCGGCUCACUGGACCGGAACUGACGCUGAGGCGCGAAAGCGUGGGGAGCAAACAGG